RNAcentral lists this long non-coding RNA (1899 nucleotides) under Bemisia tabaci. RNAcentral describes it as "lncRNA ENSSSA2NGG006033". Lineage: Eukaryota; Metazoa; Arthropoda; Insecta; Hemiptera; Aleyrodidae. The record is from RNAcentral.
GAAAUUCCUUGUAAGAAUAAUCACUGAAAUUGACUGUAGAGGUCCGAAAGAGGUCAUAGUUGAUAGAGAUGUUGAUGGGGGGGGGGGGGGGGGGCGAAGGGUGAACUGAAAGAACCUUGUGUAAUCGGUCUCUGUCCUAACCCAAAUAGUAAUAACAGAAAGAGAAAGUUGAAAUCAACCAAUUUUAAAUCAUCAUUGCAAACAUCGGUAAUGUUCACAAUGUGAGGAGACCGGACUGGCACUGAAUGUAUAAUGAAUUACUAAAUCACUUUGCUGUCAACGGUUUUCUUCAGCAACAGAAUUUGACUCUUCGCUUUUGUAUCCUCUUCUUUAUUACAUGAGUAUAAUGUAAACGUAUCUUGUUCGCUCACUCAGUUCUAAUGAUUCGUUUUCUUUUUCUGUUGCAGUCAAACCAAAACCGAAAAGUAUAUCUAAAGGGAAAAAGUGCAAGAAAAACGGUGAGAAUGUGGCUGUAGAAGAAGUUAAGGAAGAGCCCUGCAAGUCACCAGCAGCCACCGCCGUAGAGAAGGAGAAAGAGGCGGAAGCGAAGGCGAGAUUAUCGGCACCCUCAUCGCCGGUAGAUCGUCCGUCGAGGCGGAGUCCGUCGCCGAAAUCGGAACCCGUCCAAGUCGAAGCGGAUCCCACCCCAACCCUCUACCGCCCCCGCACCGGCCCCGGAUCCAGCAGCAGAAGCGGAUACCAAGUGUGAAAGUGCGGAAGGAGAACCGGCCGCGGGAAGUCGGAAAGCGGCAACACCGCCGGUCAGUGAUUUGCGAGUGAGUGAUAGUGGUAGUGGAGUGAAGAGUGAAGCGAAGGAUACGCCAAAGGAUAAGGAUACCUGGAAGGAGGAGUGCGUGAAGGAGGAGUGCGUGAAGGAGGAAGAUGCGUGCGUGAAGGAGUGCGCGAAGGAGCAGACGCAGCUCGAGCGUAUCGGGAUCGAGAAUGAAGGAGCGACGCUCUCGUUGUCGAGCAUCCCGUUGUCGGCCACUGUCAGAAGAAUGGACGAUGCCACCCCGAACAUCCUCCGGUUCCCCGACCGCGACGACCGCUCCGACUCGGGGCUGAGCUCGCUCCGCUCCGUCUCCGGCAGCUGCGCGAGCGGCGAUGAACGCUCCGGCUCGAGGAGCAGCGCCCUGAGCAGCUCGGACGAGCCACCACCCGCCCCGGGCCCCGGUCCGACGACCGGCCUGAACCUCAACCUCAACCUCAGCCAAAACCUGCAGAUCACCAGAUCCGCCCUAUUGGCCGCUAGUCACAGCCACCAGAACGAGAAGGGAGCAGAGGUGUGGCGCGACCCCAGCCUACUGCUGGCGGAGCCCGUGCGCCACGUGGACAGUGUGCAGCAUCAGUCGCUGCUCAUGUCGCAUCCUGCGGGGUCGGCCCCGCCGCAAGCCGCCAACCCUAGCGCCCACUACCCGCCGCCGCAGAGCAUCAUGAGCCCGCACCAGUUGUCCCUCCACCACCUGGCCCAGCCGAGCCUCUACUCGCAGAUCCCCGAGAUGCUCUUCGCCAGGCGCUUCUCCCCGCUCACCACCCACCCGGGCCACCCCGGCCACCCAGCCCACCCCGCCCACAACGCCCACCCGCCGACGAGCUCAUGGACCGGGAACGAGCUUACCCCAGGAACGACUCCUCAGGUAACUACACUUUUCUCCUCUUUCAACCCCUAUUACAAGUAUAAGAGGUGGUGGCCAUUUGAAUCACCUAUCCAGAAGGACGGCCCGUCAGAGAGAGGAAAAUAUCGCCUGAUAUCAAGGAGUAAAAGUUCAUGAGAGGCCCCUAAGGAGGCCCUGUCUCAGGCUGAGAAUACCUCGCUCAUAUCCGGAAAAAAAGGAAAAAAAGCGCCUGAAGAAGUUUUGCGAAGUACAGUCCGAAUAUAGCCCCAUAAUGUUGCCUCAG